Molecule: ribosomal RNA, 886 nt
Filed under: uncultured archaeon
Lineage: Archaea
Description: bacterial SSU rRNA
Rfam family: Archaeal small subunit ribosomal RNA
Source: RNAcentral
GGCACCCGGGGAUGACUAGCAUGCGAGUCAUUGUAGUAAUACAAGGCAGACGGCUCAGUAACGCGUAGUCAACCUACCCUAUGGACGGGGAUAACCUCGGGAAACUGAGAAUAAUACCCGAUAGAACAUUAUGCCUGGAAUGGUUUAUGUUUCAAAUAAUUUAUUGCCGUAGGAUGGGACUGCGGCCUAUCAGUUUGUUGGUGAGGUAAUGGCCCACCAAGACUAUUACAGGUACGGGCUCUGAGAGGAGUAGCCCGGAGAUGGGUACUGAGACACGGACCCAGGCCCUAUGGGGCGCAGCAGGCGAGAAAACUUUGCAAUGUGCGAAAGCACGACAAGGUUAAUCCGAGUGGUUUCUGCUAAAGGAACCUUUUGUCAGUCCUAGAAACACUGAUGAAUAAGGGGUGGGCAAGUUCUGGUGUCAGCCGCCGCGGUAAAACCAGCACCUCAAGUGGUCAGGAUGAUUAUUGGGCCUAAAGCAUCCGUAGCCUGCUUUGUAAGUUUUCGGUUAAAUCCAUAUGCUCAACGUAUGGGCUGCCGGGAAUACUGCAAAGCUAGGGAGUGGGAGAGGUAGACGGUACUCGGUAGGAAGGGGUAAAAUCCUUUGAUCUAUUGAUGACCACCUGUGGCGAAGGCGGUCUACCAGAACACGUCCGACGGUGAGGGAUGAAAGCUGGGGGAGCAAACCGGAUUAGAUACCCGGGUAGUCCCAGCUGUAAACUAUGCAAACUCAGUGAUGCAUUGGCUUGAUGCCAAUGCAGUGCUGCAGGGAAGCCGUUAAGUUUGCCGCCUGGGGAAGUACGUACGCAAGUAUGAAACUUAAAGGAAUUGGCGGGGGAGCACCACAAGGGGUGAAGCCUGCGGUUCAAUUGGAGUCAACGCCGGG